AGACCCUGGUCUGCACUCUAUCUGUAUGCUUUUUAAAGGGAGCGCAGGGCAGGGUUUCC
RNAcentral lists this microRNA precursor (59 nucleotides) under Tupaia belangeri chinensis (Chinese tree shrew). RNAcentral's name for it is "Tupaia chinensis (Chinese tree shrew) microRNA tch-mir-504 precursor". Its record names the gene tch-mir-504. It matches the Rfam family "mir-504 microRNA precursor family", at positions 11 to 69 of the family's 78-position model. The record is from miRBase by way of RNAcentral. Lineage: Eukaryota; Metazoa; Chordata; Mammalia; Scandentia; Tupaiidae.